CGGGUGAGUAACGCGUAGGAAUCUACCUGGUAGUGGGGGACAACAUGGGGAAACCCAUGCUAAUACCGCAUACGCCCUAUGGGGGAAAGCGGGGGACCUUCGGGCCUCGCGCUAUCAGAUGAGCCUGCGUAGGAUUAGCUUGUUGGUGAGGUAAAGGCUCACCAAGGCGACGAUCCUUAGCUGGUCUGAGAGGAUGAUCAGCCACACUGGAACUGAGACACGGUCCAG
This 228-nucleotide ribosomal RNA is filed under the name uncultured bacterium. Its description in RNAcentral is "partial 16S ribosomal RNA". It matches the Rfam family "Bacterial small subunit ribosomal RNA", at positions 103 to 334 of the family's 1533-position model. The record is from RNAcentral.